Molecule: ribosomal RNA, 586 nt
Filed under: uncultured bacterium
Lineage: Bacteria
Description: partial 16S ribosomal RNA
Rfam family: Bacterial small subunit ribosomal RNA
Source: RNAcentral
CACGCNGUAAACGAUGAGUGCUAGGUGUUAGGCCCUUUCCGGGGCUUAGUGCCGGAGCUAACGCAAUAAGCACUCCGCCUGGGGAGUACGACCGCAAGGUUGAAACUCAAAGGAAUUGACGGGGGCCCGCACAAGCGGUGGAGCAUGUGGUUUAAUUCGAAGCAACGCGAAGAACCUUACCAGGUCUUGACAUCCCGAUGCUAUUCUUAGAGAUAGGAAGUUACUUCGGUACAUCGGAGGCAGGUGGUGCAUGGUUGUCGUCAGCUCGUGUCGUGAGAUGCUGGGUNNNNNNNNNNNNNCGAGCGCAACCCUUAUUGUUAGUUGCCAUCAUUAAGUUGGGCACUCUAGCGAGACUGCCGGUAAUAAACCGGAGGAAGGUGGGGAUGACGUCAAAUCAUCAUGCCCCUUAUGACCUGGGCUACACACGUGCUACAAUGGUCGGUACAACGAGUUGCGAGCCGGUGACGGCAAGCUAAUCUCUGAAAGCCGAUCUCAGUUCGGAUUGGAGGCUGCAACUCGCCUCCAUGAAGUCGGAAUCGCUAGUAAUCGCGGAUCAGCACGCCGCGGUGAAUACGUUCCCGGGCCU